UGGAGUUUGGAUGUCCCAAAUGUUUGUGCCAAACUUCACUUUUAUUGUUAACAGUUAUACAAGCCAAAGAUAAACAACUAGGAAUAGAAAAAUGUAAUGGAAACAAUCGUCCAAUUUUAGGCCCCUUCGCUAGUAUCUUCCCCGACACCUGAUCCUGCACAAGAACACCAUCACGAGAAAAAUGGACAUCAUAAUUGUUAUCAACUAAUUGACCAACUGAAAUCAGAUUU
This 230-nucleotide long non-coding RNA is filed under the name Olea europaea (common olive). RNAcentral describes it as "long non-coding RNA (OEUR_LNC011324)". Lineage: Eukaryota; Viridiplantae; Streptophyta; Magnoliopsida; Lamiales; Oleaceae. The record is from RNAcentral.